RNAcentral lists this ribosomal RNA (253 nucleotides) under uncultured bacterium. RNAcentral describes it as "partial 16S ribosomal RNA". It matches the Rfam family "Bacterial small subunit ribosomal RNA", at positions 524 to 776 of the family's 1533-position model. The record is from RNAcentral.
UACGUAGGUGACAAGCGUUAUCCGGAUUUAUUGGGCGUAAAGCGCACGCAGGCGGCUGAUUAAGUCUGACGUGAAAUCUCUCGGCUUAACCGGGAGCGGUCGUUGGAAACUAAUCGGCUUGAGGCGAUGAGAGGGGUGUGGAAUUCCCGGUGUAGUGGUGGAAUGCGUAGAUAUCAGGAAGAACACCCGUGGCGAAGGCGGCUCUCUGGGACGGUAUUGACGCUGAGACGCGAAAGCGUGGGGAGCGAACAGG